RNAcentral lists this ribosomal RNA (438 nucleotides) under Capnocytophaga granulosa. RNAcentral describes it as "bacterial SSU rRNA". It matches the Rfam family "Bacterial small subunit ribosomal RNA", at positions 28 to 472 of the family's 1533-position model. Lineage: Bacteria; Pseudomonadati; Bacteroidota; Flavobacteriia; Flavobacteriales; Flavobacteriaceae. The record is from RNAcentral.
GAUGAACGCUAGCGGCAGGCCUAACACAUGCAAGUCGAGGGAGAAGCCCUUCGGGGCAGAAACCGGCGCACGGGUGCGUAACGCGUAUGCAACCUACCUUUCACAGGGGGAUAGCCCGAAGAAAUUUGGAUUAAUACCCCAUAAUAUUAUUGGGUGGCAUCAUUUGAUAAUUAAAAUCACGAUGGUGAAAGAUGGGCAUGCGUCCUAUUAGCUAGUUGGAGUGGUAACGGCACCCCAAGGCUACGAUAGGUAGGGGUCCUGAGAGGGAGAUCCCCCACACUGGUACUGAGACAGGGACCAGACUCCUACGGGAGGCAGCAGUGAGGAAUAUUGGUCAAUGGUCGGAAGACUGAACCAGCCAUGCCGCGUGCAGGAAGAAUGCCUUAUGGGUUGUAAACUGCUUUUAUAUGGGAAGAAUAAGGAGUACGCGUACUUUGA